GACGAACGCUGGCGGCGUGCCUAAUACAUGCAAGUAGAACGCUGAAGGAGGAGCUUGCUUCUCUGGAUGAGUUGCGAACGGGUGAGUAACGCGUAGGUAACCUGCCUGGUAGCGGGGGAUAACUAUUGGAAACGAUAGCUAAUACCGCAUAAUAGUAGAUGUUGCAUGACAUUUGCUUAAAAGGUGCAAUUGCAUCACUACCAGAUGGACCUGCGUUGUAUUAGCUAGUUGGUGGGGUAACGGCUCACCAAGGCGACGAUACAUAGCCGACCGGAGAGGGGGAUCGGCCACCCUGGGACGGGGACACGGCCCAGACGCCUACGGGAGGCAGCAGUAGGGAAUGUUAGGCAAUGGACGGAAGUCUGACCGAGCAACGCCGCGUGAGUGAAGAAGGUUUUCGGAUCGUAAAGAUCUGUUGUGAGAGAAGAACGAGUGUGAGAGUGGAAAGUUCACACUGUGACGGUAUCUUACCAGAAAGGGACGGCUAACUACGUG
This 495-nucleotide ribosomal RNA is filed under the name uncultured bacterium. RNAcentral's name for it is "partial 16S ribosomal RNA". It matches the Rfam family "Bacterial small subunit ribosomal RNA", at positions 28 to 507 of the family's 1533-position model. The record is from RNAcentral.